This 253-nucleotide ribosomal RNA is filed under the name uncultured bacterium. RNAcentral describes it as "partial 16S ribosomal RNA". It matches the Rfam family "Bacterial small subunit ribosomal RNA", at positions 524 to 776 of the family's 1533-position model. The record is from RNAcentral.
UACGUAGGGUGCGAGCGUUGUCCGGAUUUAUUGGGCGUAAAGAGCUCGUAGGCGGUUUGUCGCGUCGGCCGUGAAAUCUCCACGCUUAACGUGGAGCGUGCGGUCGAUACGGGCAGACUUGAGUUCGGUAGGGGAGACUGGAAUUCCUGGUGUAGCGGUGAAAUGCGCAGAUAUCAGGAGGAACACCGGUGGCGAAGGCGGGUCUCUGGGCCGAUACUGACGCUGAGGCGCGAAAGCCAGGGGAGCGAACGGG